GUAGGUGGCAAGCGUUGUCCGGAAUUAUUGGGCGUAAAGCGCGCGCAGGCGGGGUCCUUUAAGUCUGAUGUGAAAGCCCACGGGCUCAACCGUGGAGGGUCAUUGGAAACUGGGGGACUUGAGUACAGAAGAGGAAAGCGGAAUUCCAAAUGUAGCGGUGAAAUGCGUAGAGAUUUGGAGGAACACCAGUGGCGAAGGCGGCUUUCUGGUCUGUAACUGACGCUGAGGCGCGAAAGCGUGGGGAGCAAACAGGAUUAGAUACCCUGGUAGUCCACGCCGUAAACGAUGAGUGCUAAGUGUUAGGGGGUUUCCGCCCCUUAGUGCUGCAGCUAACGCAUUAAGCACUCCGCCUGGGGAGUACGGCCGCAAAGGCUG
RNAcentral lists this ribosomal RNA (375 nucleotides) under uncultured organism. RNAcentral describes it as "partial 16S ribosomal RNA". It matches the Rfam family "Bacterial small subunit ribosomal RNA", at positions 527 to 896 of the family's 1533-position model. The record is from RNAcentral.